GAUGAAGAACGUAGCGAAAUGCGAUAAGUAAUGUGAAUUGCAGCAUUCAGUGAAUCAUCGAAUCUUUGAACGCAUCUUGCGCUCCUUGGUAUUCUGAGGAGCAUGCCUGUUUGAGUGUCAUUAAAUUCUCAACUACACUGACUUUGAAUUGGUGUGGCUUGGAUUUGGGGGGAAAAUUGUUGUGGGCUUUUUGUAUAGUCUGCUCCCCUGAAAUUGAUUAGCGGUACCUUUGUGGAACUGUCUACAGGUGUGAUAAUUAUCUACAUCUUAGACAUCUGCUGGAAUGCUGCUUUCUAAACCUUACUUGUAUUGACAAUCUUGACCUCAAAGCAGGUAGGACUACCCGCUGAACUUAAGCAUAUCAAUAAGCGGAGGA
This 376-nucleotide unclassified non-coding RNA is filed under the name soil metagenome. RNAcentral describes it as "partial contains 5.8S ribosomal RNA, internal transcribed spacer 2, and large subunit ribosomal RNA". The stretch from base 1 to 120 matches the Rfam family "5.8S ribosomal RNA", at positions 35 to 154 of the family's 154-position model. The record is from RNAcentral.